UACGGGGGGAGCAAGCGUUGUUCGGAAUUACUGGGCGUAAAGGGCUCGUAGGUGGCCAACUAAGUCAGACGUGAAAUCCCUCGGCUUAACCGAGGAACUGCGUCUGAUACUGGAUGGCUUGAGUUUGGGAGAGGGAUGCGGAAUUCCAGGUGUAGCGGUGAAAUGCGUAGAUAUCUGGAGGAACACCGGUGGCGAAGGCGGCAUCCUGGACCAACACUGACGCUGAACAGCGAAAGCCAGGGGAGCAAACGGG
This 253-nucleotide ribosomal RNA is filed under the name uncultured bacterium. RNAcentral's name for it is "partial 16S ribosomal RNA". It matches the Rfam family "Bacterial small subunit ribosomal RNA", at positions 524 to 776 of the family's 1533-position model. The record is from RNAcentral.